AGCUUCCGUAGUUAAAUGGAUAUAAUAAACCCCUCCUAAGGGUUAGUUAUGGGUUCGAUUCCCGUCGGGAUUACCA
RNAcentral lists this transfer RNA (76 nucleotides) under Clostridia bacterium. RNAcentral's name for it is "tRNA-Arg". It matches the Rfam family "tRNA". From Rfam's summary of the family: Transfer RNA (tRNA) molecules are approximately 80 nucleotides in length. Their secondary structure includes four short double-helical elements and three loops (D, anti-codon, and T loops). Further hydrogen bonds mediate the characteristic L-shaped molecular structure. tRNAs have two regions of fundamental functional importance: the anti-codon, which is responsible for specific mRNA codon recognition, and the 3' end, to which the tRNAs corresponding amino acid is attached (by aminoacyl-tRNA synthetases). tRNAs cope with the degeneracy of the genetic code in two manners: having more than one tRNA (with a specific anti-codon) for a particular amino acid; and 'wobble' base-pairing, i.e. permitting non-standard base-pairing at the 3rd anti-codon position. Lineage: Bacteria; Bacillati; Bacillota; Clostridia. The record is from RNAcentral.